GGGGGAUAAAUUAAUAAAGUAUAAAUAAUAAAAAAAUUUUUAAUAUUAAAAUAUUUUAAUGGGGGUUAAAGUAUGUUUAAUAGAAAAAAUAAAAAAAUUUAUAGAAAAUUAGUAUUGUAAAAGAAAUUUGAAAUAUAUUGAAAAUAAAUUUAUUUAAAAGUAAAUUUAAUUUAUUGUAUCUUGUGUAUCAGAGUUUAUUAAUAAUAAUUUUUAUAUAUAAAAUUUUCUCGAAUUUAAAAGAGAUAAUUAAUUAUUAAAAUUAAUGUUGUAUAAUUAUUUUAAAUAAUUAAUUGGAAAUGAGAUGUUAAUCGUUUUUAAAUAUAUCUAGUUUUUUUAGAAAAAAAUUUAAUUUUAAAUUUUAAAAAGAAUAUAAUUUUAAUUAAUUAAAAUUAUAUUUUUAAAAUUAAAUAUUUUAAGGGAUAAGCUUUAAAAUAAAUUUUUAUAAUAAAUUUUAACAAUAAUUAAAAUUUUUAAAAUUUAUAUUGUUUAUAAAUUAUAAUUUUUUAUAAAUAAUUUUAAUUAAAUUAAAAUUUUAAAUUUAUUUAAUUUUUUAUUAAAAAAUAUUUUUUAAUAAUUAAAAUUUAGAUAUAAUGAUAAAAUUAGUAUAUAAAUGAAUAAAUAAUAUAGUUUAUUAUUUGAUAAUUUAAUAAAAGGAAUUCGGCAAAAAUUAUAUUCACUUGUUUAUCAAAAACAUGUCUUUUUGGUUAAUAAUUUAAAGUCUAAUCUGCCCACUGAUAAUAUAUUAAAGGGCUGCAGUAUUUUGACUGUACAAAGGUAGCAUAAUCAUUAGUCUCUUAAUUGGUGACUUGUAUGAAAGAUUUGAUGAGAUAUAUACUGUCUCUUUUUAAUUUAUAAAAUUUAAUUUUUUAGUUAAAAAGCUAAAAUAUAUUUAAAAGACGAGAAGACCCUAUAGAGUUUUAUAUUUAUAUAAAUUAAAAUUUUUUAUAAACUUUAAAAUUUUAAUUUAUAUAAAUAUUUUGUUGGGGUGAUAAAAAAAUUAAAAUAACUUUUUUUAUAAUUUUACAUUAAUAAAUGAAUAAAUGAUCCGUAAUUUACGAUUAUAAGAUAAAAUUACCUUAGGGAUAACAGCGUAAUUUUUUUUUUUAGUUCAAAUAAGAAAAAAAGUUUGCGACCUCGAUGUUGGAUUAAGAUAAAAUUUAAAUGCAAAAGUUUAAAAUUUUUGAUCUGUUCGAUCAUUAAAAUCUUACAUGAUCUGAGUUCAAACCGGUGUAAGCCAGGUUGGUUUCUAUCUUUAGAUUAAUAAAAUAUUUUAGUACGAAAGGAUCAAAUAUUUAAAAUAGUUUUAUUUAAAAGAAUUUUAAUAAUAGUAGAUAUUUUUAAAUAUG
Molecule: ribosomal RNA, 1346 nt
Filed under: Parnassius nomion
Lineage: Eukaryota; Metazoa; Arthropoda; Insecta; Lepidoptera; Papilionidae
Description: 16S ribosomal RNA
Rfam family: Eukaryotic large subunit ribosomal RNA (bases 1082-1241)
Source: RNAcentral